AUGGCUUCAACACAUAUUCCUUUGUCUCUCUUUUUAACUCUCCUCCUUCUCUUCAUCAGCUCCUCCACAGCCCAGCCCGUUAAACGCCGUGCUCUUCUUUCAGUAACCAAAGACGCGGCCACUAAGCAAUACGUGACACUCAUUAACCAAAGAACUCCUCUCGUCCCCGUUAAACUAACGGUAGACCUUGGUGGACGUUUCCUAUGGGUGGAUUGUCAAAAUGGCUAUGUUAGUUCAACCCUAACACCUCUCCUUUGUGACACUAUGUUUUGUAGACUUUCACAUUCUGGAGCAUGUGAUGGUAAUUGUAAAGGGCUCAUCACCCGGACAUCCUAAUAAAGAUUGUACUUGCUCACAUCUUUCAUACAAUCCUGUUUCUCGUACCAGCACAGGUACCGGGCUUAAUGAGGAUGUUAUUACCAUCCAGGAUACGGACGGGCUCAAGCCCGGCCCAUAUCUAAAGCCCGGUAAGAUUGUGUUUGGUUGCGCGGACACUUCAUUACUUAAAGGUUUAGCUAAUGGGGUUAAGGGAAUAGCGGGAUUUGGGAAUAGCUAUGUAGCCAUUCCAAAUCAAUUAAGUUAUCGUUUCUCUAGACCUAGAAAAAUCGGACUUUGUUUAAGCUCUUCGACAAAUUCUCCUGGAGUUAUAUUUAUUGGUGAAGGUCCAUAUGUAUUACUUCCUAACAUUGAUGUGUCUAAAAACCUCCUUUACACACCUCUUCUAACAAACCCGAUUAGUACUGCUGGAUCAUCAUUUGGGGGUGAGCCAUCGACGGAUUAUUUUAUUGGGGUAAAAUCUAUUAAAGUUAACGGUGAUUUGGUCCCUAUAAAUAACUUAUUAUUAGAAAUAAACGAAGAAAAUGGAGAAGGGGGUACAAAGAUUAGUACAAUUGAUCCAUAUACUAAGUUGGGGAGUUCAAUUUACAAGGCAUUAGUUAAGGCAUUUGUACACUCACUAACUAUACCUAGAGUUAAAAAAGUUGCACCAUUUGAGAUGUGUUACAAAAGUAGUAGUUUACCUAGUACUAGAGUUGGCCCUGGUGUUCCAAAUAUUGAAUUUGUUUUACAAGGUAAAAAUGGCGAGACGCCUUCAUUUAUUAUAUCUGGAGCUAACUCAAUGGUGGCCGUCACAGAUGAAGUGCUUUGCUUAGGAUUUGUAAAUGGUGGAGAAAAUCCAACUACAUCGAUAGUGAUAGGAGGACAUCAAAUUGAAGAUAAUUUGGUACAAAUUGACAUUGAUAACAAGAGGGUUGGUUUCAGUAAUUCACUUUUGUACCAGCAAACUACGUGUGCCAAUUUUAAUUUUGGGUCCACUCAAGGACGGGAGAUAGUGUAAAACGUUGUGUUAUUAAUUUGUUGUGUGGUGUGUUUGGACAUUUUUUGUCCAAGUCAA
This is an RNA transcript of Solanum pennellii, 1393 nucleotides long. It is a transcript of the gene named basic 7S globulin-like, with no coding region annotated. The record is from RefSeq and is a predicted model, not a curated record. Lineage: Eukaryota; Viridiplantae; Streptophyta; Magnoliopsida; Solanales; Solanaceae. The transcript has a single exon.